Molecule: long non-coding RNA, 277 nt
Filed under: Hordeum vulgare
Lineage: Eukaryota; Viridiplantae; Streptophyta; Magnoliopsida; Poales; Poaceae
Description: long non-coding RNA (HVUL_LNC016704)
Source: RNAcentral
GGGGUGGUGUCUGCCAUAGACGACAUCCACAUGGGCAGAGGGUGUCUGGGCAUCGACUUGAUCCGGAAUAGUACGACGUCAGUUUUCACCAAGGCUCAAACGACAUCAAUAGGGACUGUCAAGGGCUAGGCGGCAUCCAAGGGGAGAGAGGAUACGAUGGUGUCUUGGGAGCACGAGAUAGGAAAGCGAAAGAGGAGGGCAAACUAUGAACACAUGCAAAGCACGGGGUCGGGUUUUGGAUGUGGAUGUGACACGGAUGUCGGACUCUGAUAUAGCG